GGGCUAUUAGCUCUGUGGAAGAGCACUGCCUUCACAAGGUAGGAGUCGCUGGUUCAACCCCAGCAUCGCCCACCA
Molecule: transfer RNA, 75 nt
Filed under: Gammaproteobacteria bacterium
Lineage: Bacteria; Pseudomonadati; Pseudomonadota; Gammaproteobacteria
Description: tRNA-Val
Rfam family: tRNA
About the family: Transfer RNA (tRNA) molecules are approximately 80 nucleotides in length.
Source: RNAcentral